This 305-nucleotide ribosomal RNA is filed under the name uncultured bacterium. Its description in RNAcentral is "bacterial SSU rRNA". It matches the Rfam family "Bacterial small subunit ribosomal RNA", at positions 335 to 656 of the family's 1533-position model. The record is from RNAcentral.
UGUCCCCUACGGACGCAGCAGUGGGGAAUAUUGCACAAUGGAGGGAACUCUGAUGCAGCGACGCCGCGUGAGUGAAGAAGUAAUUCGUUAUGUAAAGCUCUAUCAGCAGGGAAGAAAGUGACGGUACCUGAAAAAGAAGCUCCGGCUAAAUACGUGCCAGCAGCCGCGGUAAUACGUAUGGAGCAAGCGUUAUCCGGAUUUACUGGGUGUAAAGGGAGAGUAGGUGGCAGAGCAAGUCCGAAGUGAAAACCCAAAACUCAACUAUGGGAAUGCUUUAGAAACUGCUCAGCUAGAGUGCAGGAGAG